Leptonychotes weddellii (Weddell seal) is the source of this 4564-nucleotide non-coding RNA. NCBI's taxonomy places the organism in Eukaryota, Metazoa, Chordata, Mammalia, Carnivora, Phocidae. The record is from RefSeq and is a predicted model, not a curated record.
AGCCACCCAGGCGCCCCCGUUACUGUUUUUUUUUUCCCCCAUCGUGGCCGAGCUAGCGAGCGUGCGGUGGCACUUUGUCCGUGUCCUUGGUGACGGGAGUGUGGCGCCCCGGCCACCUCUGCACCGGGUCCUUGGCCCCGUUUUCGAUCAGGUGGUCUUUCGUACAGAGAUGCAAGUGCUCCUCGUGUGCUCCAGGUGCAAGUCCUUAGACACCUCACGUGGGUGAUGUGAUCUUACUCGGCACAGGUCGUGGGCGUCCUUCGAGACCGGGGUGCUCACACUUGCCACGUGCUGUCCCGCUGGACACACGCCGUGGGGCACGUGGUCAUCCCUCACCGACUCAGUCCCCGGGAGUUGGAGCUUGUGCGCUCCGCGGCCCUGAAACGCCACGGGGCCCCAGUGUGCUGUGAAGCCACGGGCAGGUGCUCAGCGGCGUCUGUGUGCUAGUUCUGCAGACAUCUGAUCCUGUCGGAGAAGGGCCACGUGGAGUGGAAGCUGAUGUACUUCGCGCUCCAGAAGCACUACCCGCCCCGGGAGCAGUACGGGGACACCCUGCACUUCUGCCGACACUGCAGCAUCCUCUUCUGGAAGGACUGCCGCCUUGCUUUGUUGUUCAAGGACUCGGGGCAUCCCUGCACCGCCACCGACCCCGACAGUUGCUUCAUGCCUGUGUCUCCACAGCACUUCAUCGACCUGUUCAAGUUCUGAGGGCGCCCGCCCACAGCCCGCCCUCCCGGUGGGAGGGGUUCACCGCGCUGCGCCGUCGCCGGGGAGCGACCUGAACACGGACAACACACUCCCCCCUCCCCGCCUGGACGUGGCAGGGGCCUUGGUUUGUUGUGAAAGGGGUCGGGGAACCCAAGCAAAAUCAUUUCUGCUUUCUCUAAAAGUCCUCUUCAUCUCAGCCCAUUAAGGUUUGCACCUUUGCGUGUUUAUAAAUAUGGUUCAGUAAGAUUGUGGAUUUUUAGCACCACGUCUGUGCCAGACUGACACUAACAGCCAAUGCUGUGCUUAACUGUCAAACCAUAGCUUCCUGAUUUUGUAGUAAUUAGGGGCAGGGGACAGAACAGUUGAUCCUUGUAAAUACGGGCGCAGAAUAUUUAUUUUUCUUAAUAUGUAUCUUAACUGCAUCGGUUGUGUCCAAGAGAGUCCUCGUCGAAUGCGAAGUGCGCUGAGGGUACCGUUGUGUCCGUGGUCAGUCUGUGGACAGCCACGGUGUGGGUGGUGGGCCCGCCCAGCGCAGCCUCCCCUUCACUGUCCUGGAAGUGCUUUCCUAGACAAAGUAAUAAAUCGUCUUUAUCGACUCGUCUGACGUCACUGAUUUUGCAUCUUCCUGAAAAAGUGGUGUCUGUGGUUUUGAUAUCGUUGAUUUAAUCCUUUAAAAGGUUGUUUUAUUUUUAAAAUAAGGCAUGUCCAUUUUAGAUGAUUUUGAAAAUAAAGGUGUUAUGAAAUAUACAAGUCCCCUGUCACCCUGCCCCCCGAGACCAGUGUUCCUGCUACAAAGAGCGGUUCCCACCCCCGCGCUGUGGGAGAGCGGUGUGAACCCCCGAAAGUCACUGCUCCGUCCUCCUCUAAUGUUUUCUUCUUCUAAGCAUAUUAAGAUGGCUUCGGUUUUGCGUGUUUGUAAAUAAAGAUUCUGGCUUUUCAGUGUCGCUGUCUGAGCUGACCUGGUGCUGAGGGCCAACGACGUGCUGCCCUCUGGACGCGGCGUGGAGCCCGGGGCGUCUGUUUCCCCUUUCCGUUUGACAACCAGCCGUGUUUUCAGAAGCACGUUUGAAAACGUGGGUCUUGCUGGCCGGCAGGGUGCUGCUGGUUCCUGCUGUCCCCCAGCUUGUGUGCGGCCAUCAUGCCCCUGAGGCAAAUGAGGAGCGGAGCCCAGUGAUGGCACCACGGGUCUGAGGGUGCCCAGGCCGCCCGUGUGAGCUGUUAGGGUCGUCCUGAGCGAUGGCUGCUGCAGAGCCCUUCCCCCGGCGCCGUUUUCCUGCCUGAAGGACAAGAAGGACACUGAAGUUUGUGCUCUUUUCCCCCAAACACGUGUUGGUAGCACAGAGGGGAGCCCAGCCGUUCCGCUCUGCCAGCACCUCCUGCAGGGGCAGGGAGGCCCGGGCAGGCCGGGGACGGUGGCAGCCUUCUCGGUGGCGUCAGGGAAGAGACGGGAAUGAGUAGAGGCCGCAGGCACCAAGACAGCCAUCAGUCCCCUACAGGGAGGGGCGAGACGCAGAACUGUCAUGAGUUCACACACCGGACGGUACUUACGUCUAUCGGGGGGCCUGCCAGAGGUCGGUCGGGACACGGAGAGCCGAGGACACCGUGAGCUGGAGACCCCGCAGCAUGUCUCAUGUGCCUCCAGUCCCCGACAGGGCCAGGCCGAGGCGUCCGCUUACGCCGGAGAUGGGACGAGCACCUGGGGGGCCCCAGUAGGCGCGACCAGCCAGGAAGCCCAUCCAGACGCUGCCUCCCCUCACCCCUUUCAAGGCACGAAAAGACGUUUCUCACCCGGUCUGUGGACACAGAGGACUGAGGUGGCCUCUGAACACCUCACGACGCAGCACUGUUGGCCGUUCAGGUUUCUGUACCGGGAGCCGGGUCUGCUUUAGGACAUUUAUGAUCUGACUGCACACAAUGUGUGCCGUAAAUGCGGUCCUUAGAAUCUGUAAAAUGCUGCUGUGUUUUGUGCCCCGUGGCCUGCUGAGCUCAGUCCACAGACGCUGCACCCUUCUCCAUCCCACCAGCAGUGCUCAGGUGCCCCAGUUUCUCCACGUUCUUGCCAACACCUGCUUUCUGGGGUGGUUGCUGUACAGUGACCAUCCUAACGGGUGUGAGGUGGUGUCUCCUGCUGGUUUGUUUGGAUUUGCAUCUCCUUGGUGAUCAGUGGUCCGGAGCACCUUCUCGUGUGGCUGUUGGCCAUCUGUGUGUCGUAUUUGGAGAGAUGUCUAUUCAAGUCCUGCGCCCAUUUUUUAGUCAAGUUGUGUGUUUUGUUGUUGAGUUGCAUGAGUUCUCUGUAUAUUCUAGAUACCAACACCUUACAGGUAUGUGAGUGGAAGGUAUUUUCCCCCAUUGUGAAGGUGCCUUUUCACUGUUGUGUCCUUGAGGCAUGCAAGUGUUAAUUUGAUGGAGCUCAUUUCCCUUUUUUCUGUGUUAGCUGACCUUUUCGUCUCCUAAGAGAUGGUUGACAAAUCCAAGGUCAUGAAACUUGCUGUUUUUGCCCAGAACUUUAUAGUUUUAUUUAGCUUUUAUGUUUAGGCCUUUGGUCCACUGAGCUAACACUUGUGUAUGGUGUCAGGUAAGGCCCAACUUCAUCCUUUCACAUGUGGACAUCCAGUUUUCCCAGCACCGUUUGUUGGAAACACUGCCCUUUCCCCCACUGAAUGGUGUUGGCACCUGUGUUGAAAAUCAUGAUUGUGUAUGUGGCAGUUUGUUUCUGAGCUCUCUGUCCUGUCCCAUUGGUCUGUGUGUCUGUCUGUGUGUUCUCAUUCUAGGACCAAACUGUUUUCAUUCCUGUAGCUCCAUAGUGAGUUCUUAAAUCAGGAUAUGCGAAUCCUGCAACUUUAUUCUUUUUCAGGAUUGUUUUGGCUAUUUGGGAUCCCUUGAGAGGCCAUGUAAAUUUUAGGAUUUUUUCUAUUCCUGCAAAAACUGCUAGAUUUUGAUGAGUCCAGUUAAUCUAUAGAUCACCUUGGGUGGUGGUGUCAUCUUAGUAAGUCAUACAGCCCACAAGCACAGUAGGUCUUUCCGUUUAUCUGUGCCUGCUCUGAUUGCUUUAAGCCACGUUAUAGUUUUCAGUGCACAAUACUUUAGCCUCUGUGGCUGAGUUUACUCCUGUUUUAUUCUUUGUUGCUGUUAUAAAUGGGAUUUUCUUAAUUUCCCUUUGUAGUUUUCCAUUGUUCACGUAUAGAAACGCAACUGUUGUUUUUAUAUUGAUUUUUGUAUCCUGCAACUUUCCUGAGCUUGUCUAUUCCACUUUUUGGUGGUGGUUUUGGUUUUCUUGGGAUUUUUUUGGUACAAUCUUUAGGGUUUUCUACAAAUAAGAUCCUAUCAUUUAUAAACAGAUAGUUUUACUUCUUACAGUUAGGAUGCCUUUUCUUUUUCUUGCCUAAUUGCUGUGGUGAGGACUUCUAGUAGGAUGUGUAUGUAAUAGGAGUGGUGAGAGUGGACAUCCUUGUCUUGUUCCUGACCUUAGAGGAAAAUUUCAGUCUUUUUUCACCAAGUAGAAGGUUAGCUGUGGGCUUUUUAUAUGCUCCUUAGUAAGUCAGGGCAGAUUCCUUCUAUUCGGAGUUAGUUGAGUGUUUUUUUAAAUCACAUCCUUUUUCUGCAUCAAUGGAAAUGAUCAUGUUUUCCCUUUCAUUCUAUUAAUGUGUGUAGUAAAUUAUCAUUUGGUGGAUUUUAUCCCUUAUUGAAAGUGGAGGAUUGAGGUCUCUACUGGUAUCCUGGAGCUGCCUCUUUCCUCCUUCAAUUCUGUCACUGUUUGCUGCAGGUAUGUUUAUAAUUAUUUUAUCUUCUUGAUGAGUUCUCAGCUGUUUUUUAUUUAAACAUGAAGAUGAUGAAAUUAAAGGAUGUCUGGGAUUGA